GGCUCAAUGGUCUAGUGGUAUGAUUCUCGCUUUGGGUUCUAGUCAACUAUGCGAGAGGCCCCGGGUUCGAAUCCCGGUUGAGCCC
Molecule: transfer RNA, 85 nt
Filed under: Xylaria scruposa
Lineage: Eukaryota; Fungi; Ascomycota; Sordariomycetes; Xylariales; Xylariaceae
Description: tRNA-Pro
Rfam family: tRNA
About the family: Transfer RNA (tRNA) molecules are approximately 80 nucleotides in length. Their secondary structure includes four short double-helical elements and three loops (D, anti-codon, and T loops). Further hydrogen bonds mediate the characteristic L-shaped molecular structure. tRNAs have two regions of fundamental functional importance: the anti-codon, which is responsible for specific mRNA codon recognition, and the 3' end, to which the tRNAs corresponding amino acid is attached (by aminoacyl-tRNA synthetases). tRNAs cope with the degeneracy of the genetic code in two manners: having more than one tRNA (with a specific anti-codon) for a particular amino acid; and 'wobble' base-pairing, i.e. permitting non-standard base-pairing at the 3rd anti-codon position.
Source: RNAcentral